GAUCCUGGCUCAGGAUGAACGCUGGCGGCGUGCUUAACACAUGCAAGUCGAGCGAAGCGCUUAAGUUUGAUUCUUUGGAUGAAGACUUUUGUGACUGAGCGGCGGACGGGUGAGUAACGCGUGGGUAACCUGCCUCAUACAGGGGGAUAACGGUUAGAAAUGACUGCUAAUACCGCAUAAGACCACGGUACCGCAUGGUGCAGUGGUAAAAACUCCGGUGGUAUGAGAUGGACCCGCGU
Molecule: ribosomal RNA, 239 nt
Filed under: uncultured bacterium
Lineage: Bacteria
Description: partial 16S ribosomal RNA
Rfam family: Bacterial small subunit ribosomal RNA
Source: RNAcentral